CAUUCAGAAGAAGGUGGACGAGGAAGGCUCUGCUACCCGGCAGGCUUGAGGGGCAUGCAGCACCAUUGAGAUGUGAAGUAUGACUUUUGACCUAAUCUUUCACCUGAAGAUCAGCAAGAUAGGCGCUCAAUAGAUUAUUGUGUUGAGGACAGAGUUCAAGUGAGAGGAUUACUAGUAGGUUCAGAUUGCAGGGUUCGAUCGUCUCAGAUCUGAGAUGCAGGGAUGUA
RNAcentral lists this long non-coding RNA (227 nucleotides) under Coccomyxa subellipsoidea. Its description in RNAcentral is "long non-coding RNA (CSUB_LNC000633)". Lineage: Eukaryota; Viridiplantae; Chlorophyta; Trebouxiophyceae; Coccomyxaceae. The record is from RNAcentral.